This 465-nucleotide ribosomal RNA is filed under the name uncultured bacterium. RNAcentral's name for it is "partial 16S ribosomal RNA". It matches the Rfam family "Bacterial small subunit ribosomal RNA", at positions 338 to 795 of the family's 1533-position model. The record is from RNAcentral.
CCUACGGGAGGCAGCAGUGGGGAAUAUUGCGCAAUGGGCGAAAGCCUGACGCAGCGACGCCGCGUGAGGGAUGAAGGUCUUCGGAUCGUAAACCUCUGUCAGCAGGGAAGAACGGUCACUGUGCUAAUCAGCAGUGAAUUGACGGUACCUGCAAAGGAAGCACCGGCUAACUCCGUGCCAGCAGCCGCGGUAAUACGGAGGGUGCGAGCGUUAAUCGGAAUUACUGGGCGUAAAGCGCUCGUAGGCGGUAUGUCAAGUCAAGGGUGAAAUCCCCGCGCUCAACGUGGGAACUGCCUUUGAAACUGGCAGACUGGAGUGUGUGAGAGGAGAGUGGAAUUCCAGGUGUAGGAGUGAAAUCCGUAGAUAUCUGGAGGAACAUCGGUGGCGAAGGCGACUAUCUGGCACAUAACUGACGCUGAGGAGCGAAAGCGUGGGUAGCAAACAGGAUUAGAUACCCCAGUAGUC